This 468-nucleotide ribosomal RNA is filed under the name uncultured bacterium. RNAcentral describes it as "partial 16S ribosomal RNA". It matches the Rfam family "Bacterial small subunit ribosomal RNA", at positions 28 to 507 of the family's 1533-position model. The record is from RNAcentral.
GAUGAACGCUGGCGGCGUGCUUAACACAUGCAAGUCGAACGGAAAGGCCCAAGCUUGCUUGGGUACUCGAGUGGCGAACGGGUGAGUAACACGUGGGUGAUCUGCCCUGCACUUCGGGAUAAGUCUGGGAAACUGGGUCUAAUACCGGAUAGGACCAUCGUUUGGAUGCUAUUGGGGAAAGCUUUUACGGUGUGGGAUGAGCUCUCGGCGUUUCAGAUUGUUGGUGGGGUGAUGUCCUACCAAGGCGUCGACGGGUAGCCGCCCUGAGAGAGUGUGCGGCCACAUUGGGACGGAGAGACGGCCCAGACUCCUACGGGAGGCAGCAGUGGGGAAUAUUGCACAAUAAGCGCAAGCCUGAUGCAGCGACGCCGCGUGGGGGAUGACGGCCUUCGGGUUGUAAACUCCUUUCGCUAGGAACGAAGCGUUUUUGUGACGGUACCUGGAGAAGAAGCACCGGCUAACUACGUG